CUUGGAAAAUAACCAUCAACAGCACAUGGUUGCUCCUGAGAAUGCUGAAAUACUGCAAGUCCAGGCAGACACUUCUGUAGAUGUAUCAGAAAGUGAAACAGAAGUGUCCCAUGAACCUCCUGACAAUACAGUUUCACCAGUAAACCAGCAAAAGUUGUCAAUGAGCAUGGUCGAGGUGCUAUUUAAUAAAUGCAGACGUG
Molecule: long non-coding RNA, 200 nt
Organism: Peromyscus eremicus (cactus mouse)
Lineage: Eukaryota; Metazoa; Chordata; Mammalia; Rodentia; Cricetidae
Exons: 3
Source: RefSeq, a predicted model, not a curated record